AUGGCGGACCCGGAAGAUCACCUGCGGCAGGGCGGGAAGGAAGCAGCAGAAAGCUGCUUGCAGGCAGCGGCCACACAGCGACCCCCGAGCCAGCCUAGGAGCGCCACCGCUACCAAGGACCGGGCCGGACCGGGCCGGGCCAGGCCAGACCCCACAAAGAGGGCUCGCGCACCCCGGGGAGCCACUACCAGGGGCCCACGCAGGAUCGCCCAGUCCCGGAGAGGCUGUCCUCACCUGCUCCCCGCGGGUGACGACGCCGGUGCAGGUUGCCGGGGCGCAGGCCCAGGCCGACACCGCCCCUUUUCACCCCCCCCCCCCCCCCCCACCGCCUCGGCCCGCUUCCCCGCCCCGCCCCUAGCAACCCGCCGCGCUGCCGCCAGCCCUGCCCAAUCGCCCGCCGAUGGCGGCGCUCCUCGCCGAGGCAUCGCCAAUCGAGUCUCCGCGCCAACCCACCCGCCGGCCGCUGCCGUAGGGGCGGGGCCGCUGAGGCGGCCUCCUCCGCCCCGCCCGCCCCGCAGCCCCGUCACCGCGCUCCGCCUCCGGCCCGCGGCCCUUCGCCGGCUCCGCGCUGCGAGGGGGCGCCUGCCGGGCGUGGCAGCUCCGGGCUGGAGGGAGCUGCAGCGGAGGGGGCCCGAGGAGGCGGGUGUGCCCCCCCCCCCCCCCCCGGGGGGCCCCCGGGGGGGGCCCGGGGGGGCGGGGGGGCCCCCCCCCCCCCCCCGGGGGUUCCUCCCCGGUUCCCACUCCCCGCCUCGCCCCGGCCCCAGAGGGGUGCCCUCUCCUGCCCCUCGGGGCGGGAGGCCCCGCCACUCGGCUCGCCGUCGUGCCGACGCGGCCGCCUCCGCGCCAGCCAACGUGCGCGUGUCCGCGCCCGCCCGCGUUAGGCGCGUCCCCUGGGCUGGGCUGCGGAGCGGUUCCGCCGGGACCCCGCGGCCGGGGGCAGGCCAGCACGGCGCCGACGGCAGGCUGGCCGCCCGCGCUCUCCCCGGGGCCCGCUCCGGAAGCCCGGGCGCGCCCGAGCCCCCUCGGCGCCCAAGCCUUCGUGCCCGCCAGCACCAUCGGCGUCCCUGUGGCGACGCAGGCCACUUACUGCGGCUGUCUCGGGAGAGCGCGGAAAAGGCCCGGCCCGGCGGAACGGCCGCGGCGCCUUACGUGCUGCCGCGGCCUCCUCACGGGGGGGCAUCGGCGCGCGAAACCCCGGGCAGACCCGGCGGGGCGGGCACCGCCACGCGCCGGCCGGAGAGCCGCGGGGCGAGCGGGCCCACGCGCCCGCGGGUCAGGGCCGAGCGGCCGCUCCCCCUACCGGCCCCGCCCCCCGGCCCGCCGCCGGGAGGAGGGGCCGGCAGGGGGCGCCGCCGGGAGGAGGGGCCGGCAGGGGGCGCCUCCGCGGCGGCGGCGGGGCCGGGCCGGGGGCGGGGGCGCGGCCCCAUAAAAGGCUCCGCGCACGGCCGGGCCCCGCAUCGCCGUGAGAGCCAGAUCGGCACCGCCCGCAGGUAA
This 1494-nucleotide long non-coding RNA is filed under the name Accipiter nisus (Eurasian sparrowhawk). RNAcentral's name for it is "lncRNA (ENSANIG00000001548.1)". Lineage: Eukaryota; Metazoa; Chordata; Aves; Accipitriformes; Accipitridae. The record is from RNAcentral.